GAUGAACGCUGGCGGCGUGCCUAAUACAUGCAAGUCGAGCGAACAGACGAGGAGCUUGCUCCUCUGACGUUAGCGGCGGACGGGUGAGUAACACGUGGAUAACCUACCUAUAUGACUGGGAUAACUUCGGGAAACCGGAGCUAAUACCGGAUAAUAUAUUGAACCGCAUGGUUCAAUAGUGAAAGACGGUUUUGCUGUCACUUAUAGAUGGAUCCGCGCCGCAUUAGCUAGUUGGUAAGGUAACGGCUUACCAAGGCAACGAUGCGUAGCCGACCUGAGAGGGUGAUCGGCCACACGGGAACUGAGACACGGUCCAGACUCCUACGGGAGGCAGCAGUAGGGAAUCUUCCGCAAUGGGCGAAAGCCUGUCGGAGCAACGCCGCGUGAGUGAUGAAGGUCUUCGGAUCGUAAAACUCUGUUAUUAGGGAAGAACAAAUGUGUAAGUAACUAGGCACGUCUUGACGGUACCUAAUCAGAAAGCCACGGCUAACUACGUG
This 497-nucleotide ribosomal RNA is filed under the name uncultured bacterium. RNAcentral's name for it is "partial 16S ribosomal RNA". It matches the Rfam family "Bacterial small subunit ribosomal RNA", at positions 28 to 507 of the family's 1533-position model. The record is from RNAcentral.